CGGGGUGCAGCAGGCGCGAAAACUUUACAAUGCGGGAAACCGUGAUAAGGGAACUCCGAGUGUCCGUAAAUGCGGACUGUCCGUAUGUUUAAAAAGCAUGCGAAGAAAGGGCCGGGCAAGACCGGUGCCAGCCGCCGCGGUAAUACCGGCGGCUCGAGUGGUGGCCACUAUUACUGGGCUUAAAGCGUUCGUAGCUGGGUCGUUAAGUCUCUUGGGAAAUCUACCGGCUUAACCGAUAGGCGUCCAAGGGAUACUGGCGAUCUAGGGACCGGGAGAGGUGAGGGGUACUUCAGGGGUAGGAGUGAAAUCCUGUAAUCCUUGGGGGACCACCUGUGGCGUAGGCGCCUCACCAGAACGGCUCCGACAGUGAGGGACGAAAGCUGGGGGAGCAAACCGGAUUAGAUACCCGGGUAGUCCCAGCCGUAAACGAUGCGCGUUAGGUGUAUCGAUGACCACGAGUCAUCGAGGUGCCGAAGGGAAGCCGUGAAACGCGCCGCCUGGGAAGUACGGUCGCAAGGCUGAAACUUAAAGGAAUUGGCGGGGGAGCAC
This 549-nucleotide ribosomal RNA is filed under the name uncultured archaeon. RNAcentral's name for it is "bacterial SSU rRNA". It matches the Rfam family "Archaeal small subunit ribosomal RNA", at positions 326 to 879 of the family's 1478-position model. The record is from RNAcentral.